This 407-nucleotide ribosomal RNA is filed under the name uncultured bacterium. RNAcentral describes it as "partial 16S ribosomal RNA". It matches the Rfam family "Bacterial small subunit ribosomal RNA", at positions 30 to 526 of the family's 1533-position model. The record is from RNAcentral.
AUUGAACGCUGGCGGCAGGCCUAACACAUGCAAGUCGAGCGGAGCGGCGGACGGGUGAGUAAUGCCUAGGAAUCUGCCUGGUCGUGGGGGAUAACGUCCGGACACGGGCGCUAAUACUGCAUACCAUCAGAUGAGCCUAGGUCGGAUGAGCUAGUUGGUGGGGUAAAGGCCUACCAAGGCGACGAUCCGUAACUGGUCGGAGAGGAUGAUCAGUCCCAAUGGAACGGAGGCACGGUCCAGACUACUACGGGGGGCGGCGGUGGGGAAUAUUGGACAAUGGGCGAAAGCCUGAUCCAGCCAUGCCGCGUGUGUGAAGAAGGUCUUCGGAUUGGAGAGCACUUUAAAGUGGGAUGCGUUACCAACAGAAUAGGCACAGGCUAACUUCGUGCCAGCAGCCGCGGUAAUAC